CACGCCGUAAACGUUGAGAACUAAGUGUUGGGGAGACCCAGUGCUGAAGCUAACGCAUUAAGUUCUCCGCCUGAGGAGUCCGCACGCAAGUGUAAAACUUAAAGGAAUUGACGGGGGCCCGCACAAGCAGUGGAGCAUGUGGUUUAAUUCGAGGCUACGCGAAGAACCUUACCAGGGCUUGACAGGAAACUUAAGACCAUAGAGAUAGGGGGAGAAUAAGUGAAACAGGUGG
Molecule: ribosomal RNA, 232 nt
Filed under: uncultured bacterium
Lineage: Bacteria
Description: partial 16S ribosomal RNA
Rfam family: Bacterial small subunit ribosomal RNA
Source: RNAcentral